Gadus morhua (Atlantic cod) is the source of this 475-nucleotide long non-coding RNA. RefSeq lists it as uncharacterized. Lineage: Eukaryota; Metazoa; Chordata; Actinopteri; Gadiformes; Gadidae. The record is from RefSeq and is a predicted model, not a curated record. The transcript has 3 exons.
CACCACUUACAGUUUGAAAGCUGACCCCCUGGGCUGGUAAAGCCAAGAUAUGCGUUUUGGUUAGACCAGGCGAAAACCACUGCUUACAAUAGCUAGGCUGUAAUUUAGCAGCGCCUCGCAACAAAUUUAGACAUAAUUCAGUCCUCGCAUGAGAACAUGGCAGCUCGAUCGCUUACCCACGUUGGAGAGGCCUCCCUUCUGGGCAAUCUUAUCCACGGCCGCCUUCACGUCCCGGGAGUUGGAGAAGGACUUCAGGCUGAUCUCUGUCACCGGGUCAUCUCUGAGGGACGAGGCGAGAGAAACGACACAAACCUAUUGUCACCGCAUUCACCUCAGUUGAUGACCUGGGCCACCUCCGCCAGGAAGUCCUUCUGGAUCUUGAAGCGACGCUUCCCGAUGCUCCAGCUGCCAUCCAUUAGGAAGGCCAGGUCCACCUUGCAGUCUGCAGUGGGGAAGGGGGGGGGGUCUCAGUGAG